RNAcentral lists this long non-coding RNA (1558 nucleotides) under Nicotiana tabacum (common tobacco). RNAcentral's name for it is "long non-coding RNA (NTAB_LNC003556)". Lineage: Eukaryota; Viridiplantae; Streptophyta; Magnoliopsida; Solanales; Solanaceae. The record is from RNAcentral.
AAUAAUACAAGUAAAGUAAAUGACACUACAUUCUCAUAAAUAACUAAGAUAGUAGAAGACUGACAAGAGCUUAACGAGAUGACUAGUUCACCUCAUAGCAUUCACAUCAACAUUGGAAUCAGGAUGUCGCUCACCACCUGCCAAAAAUAAAUGAUAAUUACAACAAAGAAAAGAAAAGCAGGGUAGAACCAAAAGAACUUUAAAGCAUCAAUUUUCUCAUCAUUUAUCGGUAUAUAAAUUUUUUUGGAAAUUCCAACCUGCACAAAGCAAACACCUUGAAGGCUUGAACAAGAAACAGUGCCGGCUCUAGGGGGAGGCCAAUUAAGCAAUUGCUUUAGGCCCCCCAAAUUGAAGGCCCCAAUUUUAUGACUAUUAUUUAGUAUUACAUAUAUUGUAAAAUUAUUAUUAUGAAAAAGAAACUAAAUUUAUGUUUUCUUGUAAUAUGAUAGAAGUUAUUUUGAUAAAUACUGAAUUUUCUAAUAAAAAUGUAUUAUAUAAAAAGAACAAUUUGAUGAUGUUAUUGACAAUUAAAAAGAUAAAAUAAAAGUCUCUUGUAGUAUUUUUUAAAGUUGAUAUUUCUUACAAAGAGUUGAUCAACGUUGUUUCAAUUCAAAACAGACUUGAACUAUUCGAAAUACCUAAUUAUACUAAUGCUUAACAAAGUGAUAUCAUUAUAUGAUAAAAACUUAUAAAAAUUAUCUUGACCAUGGAUGUUAAUAAUAUUGAAGCUUUGAUGAGUAGAGUUAUAAGAUACCCAGUGCAUAGUCAAAAUAAGUACAAGAUGGUCUAUACACCACCUUAACAACAAGAAGAAAAACAUGUAAAAUUUUAUUUAUAAAAAUUAAAGGCCUACCAAUUCUGUUGAGUGGCCUCUGACAAGAAAAUGCAGACGUUAGGGAGUGGUGGGACCGGGAAACACCAAAGUUAGGGAGUUCUUCACCAACCAUGGCUGGAACAUUGGGAGCUUCUCCAGGACACGGUGCCACAGAGAGCUUUAGAUGAGAUUAUGCAAAUCAAGAUCGGCCGUAAUCAAAUCCAAGAUCAAGCCAUCUGGACUCCCACCCCUCAAGGAUCCUUUACAUGCUCCUCUGCCUAUCAACUUCUCAGGAAAAUAAGAGAGAAUUCGCCUCAACUAGCCAAAAUCUGGAAUAAUCACCUACCUUUUAAAAUCUCCUUUGCAACAUGGAGACUCUUGAAAGGCAGGUUACCACUGGAUGACAUUGUUCUAAAGUUUGGUACAAACAUUAUUUCUAGAUGUUGUUGCAGGGUGCCAUUGGAUGACCAUGUUUUUGCAAAUAGCAAUACAGCAAAGAAGGUAUGGAAUACUAUGUCCACUCCACUGGGAUUCCAGACCACGGGAAGGAACACUAUAUGCCAUCCUAAAUCAAUGGUGGAGCAAACAGCCAAAAAACAAUGUCCAUAAGUUUCUACUGCAAAUUACCCCAACUAUAAUAUGCUAGGAGAUAUGGAAGGCCAGAUGUGGCAAGAAAUAUGGUAAGAAGACUAUUUCUGUUUUUAGAAUAUGUCAACAGGUUCUUUUUCAGGUUAAAGUUUCCAU